Molecule: ribosomal RNA, 665 nt
Filed under: Fusarium verticillioides
Lineage: Eukaryota; Fungi; Ascomycota; Sordariomycetes; Hypocreales; Nectriaceae
Description: eukaryotic LSU rRNA
Rfam family: 5.8S ribosomal RNA (bases 298-451)
Source: RNAcentral
CCGAUUGAAUGGCUCAGUGAGGCGUCCGGACUGGCCCAGAGAGGUGGGCAACUACCACUCAGGGCCGGAAAGCUCUCCAAACUCGGUCAUUUAGAGGAAGUAAAAGUCGUAACAAGGUCUCCGUUGGUGAACCAGCGGAGGGAUCAUUACCGAGUUUACAACUCCCAAACCCCUGUGAACAUACCACUUGUUGCCUCGGCGGAUCAGCCCGCUCCCGGUAAAACGGGACGGCCCGCCAGAGGACCCCUAAACUCUGUUUCUAUAUGUAACUUCUGAGUAAAACCAUAAAUAAAUCAAAACUUUCAACAACGGAUCUCUUGGUUCUGGCAUCGAUGAAGAACGCAGCAAAAUGCGAUAAGUAAUGUGAAUUGCAGAAUUCAGUGAAUCAUCGAAUCUUUGAACGCACAUUGCGCCCGCCAGUAUUCUGGCGGGCAUGCCUGUUCGAGCGUCAUUUCAACCCUCAAGCCCUCGGGUUUGGUGUUGGGGAUCGGCGAGCCCUUGCGGCAAGCCGGCCCCGAAAUCUAGUGGCGGUCUCGCUGCAGCCUCCAUUGCGUAGUAGUAAAACCCUCGCAACUGGAACGCGGCGCGGCCAAGCCGUUAAACCCCCAACUUCUGAAUGUUGACCUCGGAUCAGGUAGGAAUACCCGCUGAACUUAAGCAUAUCA